Molecule: RNA transcript, 4682 nt
Organism: Ctenopharyngodon idella (grass carp)
Lineage: Eukaryota; Metazoa; Chordata; Actinopteri; Cypriniformes; Xenocyprididae
Gene: golga7ba
Gene name: golgin A7 family, member Ba
Exons: 3
Source: RefSeq, a predicted model, not a curated record
UCACUGCAUUACUCUGAGAUAAUGACAUCACUGCAUUACUCUGAGAUAAUGAUGACAUCACUGCAUUACUCUGAGAUAAUGAUGACAUCACUGCAUUACUCUGAGUUAAUGACAUCACUGCAUUACUCUGAGAUAAUGACAUCACUGCAUUACUCUGAGAUAAUGAUAUCACUGCAUUACUCUGAGAUGAUGACAUCAUUUCUUUACUCUGAGAUAAUGACAUCACUGCAUUACUCUGAGAUAAUGAUGACAUCACUGCAUUACUCUGAGAUGAUGACAUCAUUUCUUUACUCUGAGAUAAUGACAUCACUGCAUUACUCUGAGAUAAUGAUGACAUCACUGCAUUACUCUGAGAUAAUGACAUCACUGCAUUACUCUGAGAUGAUGACAUCACUUCUUUACUCUGAGAUAAUGACAUCACUGCAUUACUCUGAGAUAAUGAUGACAUCACUGCAUUACUCUGAGAUAAUGAUGACAUCACUGCAUUACUCUGAGAUAAUGAUGACAUCACUGCAUUACUCUGAGAUAAUGAUGACAUCACUUCUUUACUCUGAGAUAAUGACAACAUCACUGCAUUACUCUGAGAUGACAUCACCGCAUUACUCUGAGAUAAUGAUGACAUCACUGCAUUACUCUGAGAUGAUGACAUCACUUCUUUACUCUGAGAUAAUGACAUCACUGCAUUACUCUGAGAUAAUGACAUCACUUCUUUUCUCUGAGAUAAUGACAACAUCACUGCAUUACUCUGAGAUGACAUCACCGCAUUACUCUGAGAUGACAUCACUGCAUUACUCUGAGAUAAUGAUGACAUCACUGCAUUACUCUGAGAUGACAUCACCGCAUUACUCUGAGAUGACAUCACUGCAUUACUCUGAGAUAAUGAUGACAUCACUGCAUUACUCUGAGAUGACAGAGUCACUUCUUUACGCUGAGAUAAUGACAUCACUGCAUUACUCUGAGAUAAUGACAUCACUUCUUUACUCUGAGAUAAUGACAACAUCACUGCAUUACUCUGAGAUGACAUCACCGCAUUACUCUGAGAUGACAUCACUGCAUUACUCUGAGAUAAUGAUGACAUCACUGCAUUACUCUGAGAUAAUGAUGACAUCACUGCAUUACUCUGAGAUAAUGACAUCACUGCAUUACUCUGAGAUAAUGACAUCACUUCUUUACUCUGAGAUAAUGACAACAUCACUGCAUUACUCUGAGAUAAUGACAUCACUGCAUUACUCUGAGAUAAUGACAUCACUGCAUUACUCUGAGAUAAUGAUGACAUCACUGCAUUACUCUGAGAUAAUGACAUCACUUCUUUACUCUGAGAUAAUGACAACAUCACUGCAUUACUCUGAGAUAAUGACAACAUCACUGCAUUACUCUGAGAUAAUGAUAUCACUGCAUUACUCUGAGAUAAUGAUAUCACUGCAUUACUCUGAGAUAAUGAUAUCACUGCAUUACUCUGAGAUAAUGACAACAUCACUUCUUUACUCUGAGAUAAUGACAACAUCACUGCAUUACUCUGAGAUGACAUCACCGCAUUACUCUGAGAUAAUGAUGACAUCACUGCAUUACUCUGAGAUGAUGACAUCACUUCUUUACUCUGAGAUAAUGACAUCACUGCAUUACUCUGAGAUAAUGACAUCACUUCUUUUCUCUGAGAUAAUGACAACAUCACUGCAUUACUCUGAGAUGACAUCACCGCAUUACUCUGAGAUGACAUCACUGCAUUACUCUGAGAUAAUGAUGACAUCACUGCAUUACUCUGAGAUGACAGAGUCACUUCUUUACGCUGAGAUAAUGACAUCACUGCAUUACUCUGAGAUAAUGACAUCACUUCUUUACUCUGAGAUAAUGACAACAUCACUGCAUUACUCUGAGAUGACAUCACCGCAUUACUCUGAGAUGACAUCACUGCAUUACUCUGAGAUAAUGAUGACAUCACUGCAUUACUCUGAGAUAAUGAUGACAUCACUGCAUUACUCUGAGAUAAUGACAUCACUGCAUUACUCUGAGAUAAUGACAUCACUUCUUUACUCUGAGAUAAUGACAACAUCACUGCAUUACUCUGAGAUAAUGACAUCACUGCAUUACUCUGAGAUAAUGAUAUCACUGCAUUACUCUGAGAUAAUGAUGACAUCACUGCAUUACUCUGAGAUAAUGAUAUCACUGCAUUACUCUGAGAUAAUGACAUCACUGCAUUACUCUGAGAUAAUGACAUCACUGCAUUACUCUGAGAUAAUGACAACAUCACUGCAUUACUCUGAGAUAAUGAUAUCACUGCAUUACUCUGAGAUAAUGAUGACAUCACUGCAUUACUCUGAGAUAAUGAUAUCACUGCAUUACUCUGAGAUAAUGACAUCACUGCAUUACUCUGAGAUGAUGACAUCACUUCUUUACUCUGAGAUAAUGACAACAUCACUGCAUUACUCUGAGAUGACAUCACCGCAUUACUCUGAGAUGACAUCACUGCAUUACUCUGAGAUAAUGACAUCACUGCAUUACUCUGAGAUAAUGAUGACAUCACUGCAUUACUCUGAGAUAAUGACAUCACUGCAUUACUCUGAGAUAAUGAUGACAUCACUGCAUUACUCUGAGAUAAUGACAUCACUGCAUUACUCUGAGAUAAUGAUGACAUCACUGCAUUACUCUGAGAUAAUGAUGACAUCACUGCAUUACUCUGAGUUAAUGACAUCACUGCAUUACUCUGAGAUAAUGACAUCACUGCAUUACUCUGAGAUAAUGAUAUCACUGCAUUACUCUGAGAUGAUGACAUCAUUUCUUUACUCUGAGAUAAUGACAUCACUGCAUUACUCUGAGAUAAUGAUGACAUCACUGCAUUACUCUGAGAUGAUGACAUCAUUUCUUUACUCUGAGAUAAUGACAUCACUGCAUUACUCUGAGAUAAUGAUGACAUCACUGCAUUACUCUGAGAUAAUGACAUCACUGCAUUACUCUGAGAUGAUGACAUCACUUCUUUACUCUGAGAUAAUGACAUCACUGCAUUACUCUGAGAUAAUGAUGACAUCACUGCAUUACUCUGAGAUAAUGAUGACAUCACUGCAUUACUCUGAGAUAAUGAUGACAUCACCGCAUUACUCUGAGAUGACAUCACUGCAUUACUCUGAGAUAAUGAUGACAUCACUGCAUUACUCUGAGAUGACAGAGUCACUUCUUUACGCUGAGAUAAUGACAUCACUGCAUUACUCUGAGAUAAUGACAUCACUUCUUUACUCUGAGAUAAUGACAACAUCACUGCAUUACUCUGAGAUGACAUCACCGCAUUACUCUGAGAUGACAUCACUGCAUUACUCUGAGAUAAUGAUGACAUCACUGCAUUACUCUGAGAUAAUGAUGACAUCACUGCAUUACUCUGAGAUAAUGACAUCACUGCAUUACUCUGAGAUAAUGACAUCACUUCUUUACUCUGAGAUAAUGACAACAUCACUGCAUUACUCUGAGAUAAUGACAUCACUGCAUUACUCUGAGAUAAUGAUAUCACUGCAUUACUCUGAGAUAAUGAUGACAUCACUGCAUUACUCUGAGAUAAUGAUAUCACUGCAUUACUCUGAGAUAAUGACAUCACUGCAUUACUCUGAGAUAAUGACAUCACUGCAUUACUCUGAGAUAAUGACAACAUCACUGCAUUACUCUGAGAUAAUGAUAUCACUGCAUUACUCUGAGAUAAUGAUGACAUCACUGCAUUACUCUGAGAUAAUGAUAUCACUGCAUUACUCUGAGAUAAUGACAUCACUGCAUUACUCUGAGAUGAUGACAUCACUUCUUUACUCUGAGAUAAUGACAACAUCACUGCAUUACUCUGAGAUGACAUCACCGCAUUACUCUGAGAUGACAUCACUGCAUUACUCUGAGAUAAUGAUGACAUCACUGCAUUACUCUGAGAUAAUGAUGACAUCACUGCAUUACUCUGAGAUGACAGAGUCACUUCUUUACGCUGAGAUAAUGACAUCACUGCAUUACUCUGAGAUAAUGACAUCACUUCUUUACUCUGAGAUAAUGACAACAUCACUGCAUUACUCUGAGAUAAUGACAUCACUGCAUUACUCUGAGAUAAUGAUGACAUCACUGCAUUACUCUGAGAUAAUGACAACAUCACUGCAUUACUCUGAGAUAAUGACAUCACUGCAUUACUCUGAGAUAAUGAUAUCACUGCAUUACUCUGAGAUAAUGACAACAUCACUGCAUUAUUUUAUGAGUUAAUGAUGGUGACACCACUGCAUUACUCUCAGCUGAUGAUGAUAUCACUCCAUUACUCUGUGAGUUCAAAGUAAUGCAGUGAUGUCAUCAUAAGCUCUAAAUAAUGCAGUGAUGAGCUAAUGAUGACAUCACAUGCACUACGCUGCAAAAAUUACUAAUACCACCAUCUAAUGUCAGUGACUUGCAAAUAAGUAUAACUGAAUACUAGUGGCUAAUUUCCAUGCCCAAACUUCUGUUUUCAAUAGAAAAUGCAACAACAGAGGACAGAAAACUGCAUUCAUCAAGCCAUUUUUCAUGGAUUGUUUAACAUCUAGCAGCCCAAGUUCCAUAACCUUCAGGAGUUGAGACACAGCGCAUCUCUAGCCAAUAAGGUCUUCAUUCAGAGAGACUACACUGAUGGCACCAUCUGCAAGUUCCAGACCAAGUUCCCAUCAGAGUUAGACAGCAGGAUUGAGAGGACACUGUUUGAG